RNAcentral lists this transfer RNA (141 nucleotides) under Winogradskyella immobilis. RNAcentral's name for it is "tRNA-OTHER". It matches the Rfam family "tRNA". Rfam says of the family: Transfer RNA (tRNA) molecules are approximately 80 nucleotides in length. Their secondary structure includes four short double-helical elements and three loops (D, anti-codon, and T loops). The record is from RNAcentral. Lineage: Bacteria; Pseudomonadati; Bacteroidota; Flavobacteriia; Flavobacteriales; Flavobacteriaceae.
GGAAGCAUUGAGCAAUUGGUUGGCUCACCAGACUGAAAUGCGUUUUUACGCAUUCAGCGAAUCCUAUUUAAUAAAAUAGAAAUCGUUGAGCUAAAAUCUCGUUUCUGGCAGAACAUGUAGGUUCGAGUCCUACUGCUUCCA